UCGGACCAGCCGAUGGAUUUGAUUGUAAGAACUAGAACAGCGUGGGAAAGCUGACCGAAGAUGGUGAUAGUCCAGUAUAGGUAGAAAGCAAUUAAGUUCUUGAGUAGGGCGGAGCACGAGAAAUUCUGUCUGAAAAUGGGGAGACCACUCUCCAAGGCUAAGUACUACUGAGUGACCGAUAGUGAACAAGUACCGUGAGGGAAAGGUGAAAAGCACCCCUAUAAGGGGAGUGAAAAAGAACCUGAAACCGGAUGCCUACAAGCAGUCGGAGGAGCAUUAGGCUCUGACGGCGUACCUUUUGUAUAAUGGGUCAGCGACUUAAUUUAUGUAGCAAGCUUAAGCCGAUAGGUGUAGGCGCAGCGAAAGCGAGUGUUAAUAGCGCGUUAAGUUACAUGGAUUAGACCCGAAACCGAGUGAUCUAGCCAUGAUCAGGUUGAAGGUUGGGUAACACCAACUGGAGGACCGAACCCACUCCCGUUGAAAAGGUAGGGGAUGAAUUGUGGCUAGGGGUGAAAGGCCAAUCAAACUCGGAAAUAGCUGGUUCUCCGCGAAAACUAUUUAGGUAGUGCGGCAAGCGGACACGUUGAGGGGUAGAGCACUGAAAGAGCUAAGGGGGAGCGAUCCUUACUAAACUUUAUCAAACUCCGAAUACUCAACAGUGAUACUUGCCAGACAGACUGUAGGUGCUAAGGUCUACGGUCGAGAGGGAAAGAGCCCAGACCGCCAAUUAAGGUCCCAAAAUUAUGGCUAAGUGGUAAAGGAAGUGAAUUGUCCAAAACAGUCAGGAGGUUGGCUUAGAAGCAGCCAUCCUUUAAAGAAAGCGUAAUAGCUCACUGAUCUAAACAAGACGAUUUGCGCCGAAGAUGUAACGGGGCUAAAGCCAUAUACCGAAGUUGCGGAAUUGCACGUAAGUGCAAUUGGUAGCGGAGCGUUCUGUAAGCCUGCGAAGGUGUUCCGUAAGGAAUGCUGGAGGUAUCAGAAGUGAGAAUGCUGACAUGAGUAGCGAAAAGAAGUGUGAGAGACACUUCCGCUGAAAGUCCAAGGUUUCCUGCGUAAAGCUAAUCUGCGCAGGGUUAGUCGGCCCCUAAGGCGAGGCAGAGAUGCGUAGUCGAUGGGAAUCAGGUUAAUAUUCCUGAACCAACUAGGAAGUGACGGAUUCAGUAAAUUGUAUGUCCUUAUUGGAUUGGAUGUGCAGUGAAUGAGUCCCGGGAAAUAGCCCUAGUAUAGACCGUACCCGAAACCGACACAGGUGGACAGGUAGAGAAUACCAAAGCGCUUGAGAGAACUAUGUUGAAGGAACUAGGCAAAAUACUUGCGUAACUUCGGGAUAAGCAAGCCCCAUUUCUGGGCAACCAGAGGUGGGGGGCACAUACUAGGGGGUAGCGACUGUUUACUAAAAACACAGGGCUCUGCUAAAUUGAAAGAUGAAGUAUAGGGUCUGACGCCUGCCCGGUGCUGGAAGGUUAAGGAGAGAUGUGCAAGCAUUGAACUGAAGCCCCAGUAAACGGCGGCCGUAACUAUAACGGUCCUAAGGUAGCGAAAUUCCUUGUCGGGUAAGUUCCGACCUGCACGAAUGGCGUAACGACUUCCCCGCUGUCUCCAACAUAGACUCAGCGAAAUUGAAUUCUGAGUUAAGAUGCUCAGUACCCGCGGUUAGACGGGAAGACCCCGUGAACCUUUACUAUAGCUUUGCAGUGGUAUUAGGUGACAAAUGUGUAGGAUAGGUGGGAUGCUAUGAAGUUAUGACGCUAGUUGUAAUGGAGCAGACGUUGAAAUACCACCCUUUUGUUAUUUGAUAUCUAACCUGCUUCCGUUAUCCGGAAGAGGGACCCUGCAUGGUGGGUAGUUUGACUGGGGCGGUCGCCUCCCAAAGAGUAACGGAGGCGCGCAAAGGUUGGCUCAGAUUGGUCGGAAAUCAAUCGUUGAGUGCAAUGGCAUAAGCCAGCCUGACUGCGAGAGCGACAGUUCG
RNAcentral lists this ribosomal RNA (1969 nucleotides) under human gut metagenome. Its description in RNAcentral is "bacterial LSU rRNA". It matches the Rfam family "Bacterial large subunit ribosomal RNA", at positions 296 to 2391 of the family's 2925-position model. The record is from RNAcentral.